Molecule: small nucleolar RNA, 203 nt
Filed under: Anopheles funestus (African malaria mosquito)
Lineage: Eukaryota; Metazoa; Arthropoda; Insecta; Diptera; Culicidae
Description: small nucleolar RNA U3
Rfam family: Small nucleolar RNA U3
About the family: Small nucleolar RNAs (snoRNAs) are involved in the processing and modification of rRNA in the nucleolus. There are two main classes of snoRNAs: the box C/D class, and the box H/ACA class. U3 snoRNA is a member of the box C/D class.
Source: RNAcentral
AAGACUGUGCUUCAUAGGAUCAUUUCUAUAGGCCAGUGUUCAACUCUUGUUGAUCGAACCUUGAGUUCGUUCUACCCACGAUGAUGAGGUCAAGUGUUUACCCCGGAGCGUGAAACUGUCGGAUCUCGGCUGCGUCUCUGACGUGUCGAUCUGUACUUGAUGAUCGUAUCCAAAAACGGGGGGUCAAACACAGUCUGAGUGGA